Molecule: long non-coding RNA, 631 nt
Organism: Pleuronectes platessa (European plaice)
Lineage: Eukaryota; Metazoa; Chordata; Actinopteri; Pleuronectiformes; Pleuronectidae
Exons: 3
Source: RefSeq, a predicted model, not a curated record
GUAUGUGAACGCUGUGCAAACUGCUUUAAGACGGAGGCUGGACUGAAGGUGGAGCUCCACAUAAGGCAGAAGGAGAAGGAGAGGAGUUUGCUGGACACAGGGCUCUCCUUGUUGUUGGCCCAGACUACAGCAUUCAGGCUAAGUUAAGGGAAGAGGAGGAGGCGGAGGAAGAAUCGGAAGCUGAGCUGGUAGUUUAUUGAGGGAGGAAGGUGACUAAUCGUGAAUGUCACUCAGCGUACUCUAACUCAGGCUGGUGGAGGGAGGAGUGGCUGGACAACCACUGAACCGGCAUAUGUAUGCAGUAUUUGGUCCAGCCCAGCCAGUAAACAGCUGUCUGUCUCUGUCAGAGAGAGUGUGCAUCAACACGUGGAGGAGCAGUAAUCUCUUGGAUACACUAUGAUGUCUUUGGGAUAGUUGGAGAGUUGCGGUCUCUUCAUCCAUCUGUGUCCGUGACCUCUACGUGCAGAUUACCAUCCACUGUCUCCAGAGGCCAGACAUGUAGUCAGAAGCGUAAAGCAGAGCCCAUUUGUCUUUGUGAACCCUUUUCCUCUCAAGCAGCUUACUCUACCUCUCGGGCUGGACUGCGGUGCCCUGACGCCGGCUCGCCCUCCCCUGCCCCCUCGCCCCACAG